Molecule: ribosomal RNA, 275 nt
Filed under: uncultured bacterium
Lineage: Bacteria
Description: partial 16S ribosomal RNA
Rfam family: Bacterial small subunit ribosomal RNA
Source: RNAcentral
CGUCCCGCCGGCGACCGGCGCACGGGUGAGUAACACGUAUGCAACCUGGCCGCCACAGGGGGAUAACCCGCGGAAACGCGGCCUAAUACCCCGUGACGCCACCGGAGGGCAUCCUCCGGUGGCCAAAGGAGCGAUCCGGUGGCGGAUGGGCAUGCGGCGCAUUAGCUAGACGGCGGGGUGACGGCCCACCGUGGCGACGAUGCGUAGGGGUUCUGAGAGGAAGGCCCCCCACACUGGGACUGAGACACGGCCCAGGCUCCUACGGAAGGCAGCAG